RNAcentral lists this ribosomal RNA (586 nucleotides) under uncultured bacterium. RNAcentral describes it as "partial 16S ribosomal RNA". It matches the Rfam family "Bacterial small subunit ribosomal RNA", at positions 355 to 1375 of the family's 1533-position model. The record is from RNAcentral.
UGGGGAAUUUUGGACAAUGGGCGAAAGCCUGAUCCAGCAAUGCCGCGUGUGUGGAAGAAGGCCUUCGGGUUGUAAAGCACUUUUGUCCGGAAAGAAAUCCUUGGCUCUAAUACAGUCGGGGGAUGACGGUACCGGAAGAAUAAGCACCGGCUAACUACGUGCCAGCAGCCGCGGUAAUACGUAGGGUGCAAGCGUUAAUCGGAAUUACUGGGCGUAAAGCGUGCGCAGGCGGUUUGCUAAGACCGAUGUGAAAUCCCCGGGCUCAACCUGGGAACUGCAUUGGUGACUGGCAGGCUAGAGUAUGGCAGAGGGGGGUAGAAUUCCACGUGUAGCAGUGAAAUGCGUAGAGAUGUGGAGGAAUACCGAUGGCGAAGGCAGCCCCCUGGGCCAAUACUGACGCUCAUGCACGAAAGCGUGGGGAGCAAACAGGAUUAGAUACCCUGGUAGUCCACGCCCUAAACGAUGUCAACUAGUUGUUGGGGAUUCAUUUCCUUAGUAACGUAGCUAACGCGUGAAGUUGACCGCCUGGGGAGUACGGUCGCAAGAUUAAAACUCAAAGGAAUUGACGGGGUCAUAGCUGUUUCCU